RNAcentral lists this ribosomal RNA (161 nucleotides) under uncultured bacterium. RNAcentral's name for it is "partial 16S ribosomal RNA". It matches the Rfam family "Bacterial small subunit ribosomal RNA", at positions 1330 to 1496 of the family's 1533-position model. The record is from RNAcentral.
AAUCGCUAGUAAUCGCGCAUCAGCCAUGGCGCGGUGAUUACGUUCCCGGGCCUUGUACACACCGCCCGUCAAGCCAUGGAAGCCGGGGGUACCUGAAGAUGGUGACUUUACUGGGAGCUAUCUAAGGUAAAACUGGUGACUGGGGCUAAGUCGUAACAAGG